CUCUGAGAGAGAAGUUGGAAGAUGUCAGUUCUGUGUCAAGUUGCUGAAGGAAGAAUAAGAUUCUGAAAGAAGCUGACAUGAGAGGAGAUGCAAGAAAUGAUACUUCCAUGGUCACAAAGAUAACACCGCACAAGUAGUCCUCAUCAGAAAACCGAUUCAAACCCAUGUUGUCAGACUCCAUAAUCAGGACUCUUUCUACCAUAUGACACUUCAUUGAGGAGGUCUUUGCUUUGUAGGAAAGAUGGGCAGCGAUCUGUCACAUAGGUUGACUUUGAGAUAAGCAUUGCCGGUGGAUUCUGAGAACAAAAGCAUUCUGCUGUUUUCUAUCAAUUAUUGCGAACUCUCAAAAGGUAUGGUGUUCUGCUGAUAUUUAUAUGCUCAUGCAAGGAUUUUUGUCUUCUGGAUAACC
Non-coding RNA from Phascolarctos cinereus (koala), 409 nucleotides. The record is from RefSeq and is a predicted model, not a curated record. Lineage: Eukaryota; Metazoa; Chordata; Mammalia; Diprotodontia; Phascolarctidae.